UCCGGUGACCAUAGCGAGGGGGAAACACCCGUUCCCAUCCCGAACACGGCAGUUAAGCCCCUCCGCGCCGAUGGUACUGCCGGCGACAGCCGGUGGGAGAGUAGGUCAUCGCCGGGA
RNAcentral lists this ribosomal RNA (117 nucleotides) under bacterium. The record is from RNAcentral. RNAcentral also lists the same sequence under 1 other name.